GAACAUUCAUUUGCAGAGAACUUUUUAUUUUUCCAUAGAAGUGAAUAGCCAAAUUCUCAUUCUUCACUUUUCUUCUAAAAAACAAACAAACAAAUCUCUUCAUUAUUUCUCAAAUGUUUUUUUUUGAAGGAUAUAGAAGAGACUCUCUUUGCACUGAUCUAUUCUACCUUGAAAAUUGAUCUUGUUAUGCUACUUUUUCUUCUUCUACUACCUUUUAUUUUGAAAAAUUAUUGAAAGAAAAUCUCCCUAUUCUUUAAUAGAAAAAAAAUUAUGGAUCCGUAGCGUAAUGGUAGAGCGUCUGAUAGAUCGGAAGGCUGUUAGUCCAAUUUUUGUUGGGUCCAUAAUCUCGAUCUACAUUCGGUUAUGCUAUCUUUUUAACAGGUAUGUUCAUUUUCAAUAAUACGAAGAUUUAAACUUAAACUCGACACCAAAAUCAUGCAAAACAGAGCAAUUUAACUUGGCUCUGAUGCCAUUGAAAGAAAAAUACGGAGCCAAAUAGUGUACCUUGGUAAAUUUUACAGCGGAUGAAACUGACUUUUCUACCGAAAGAAUCUGUCCAAGUCUUCUUUGAAUCUCUUAGAAGCAGAGCUUGAAUCACAAACUAAAUGCUCUCGUUUUGGUGUUAUCGUUAAUUUCGAUUCUUUAUUUUAUGAACCAAUUUUCUCUGUGUUCUCUGUAUUUUUCUUGUCAGAAGAAAAGGAGGUACGUAUUGCAAAUUUUGGGAUGGGAACAGUUACUUUUUAAUCGUUCUCCCUUUUUCUUUUGAAUUAAUCUCAAUCUGACUAAGAAACAGGUCGGUUUGGUUCAGUUCGGUUCAGUUCGGGUCGGGUCAGAUCGGGUCGGGUCGGUCCACAUGGGUGACCCAUGACCCAUAAUCUAAUAGAAAACAAGUUGUUUUCUUAUUUAUUUGUUGAAAAAUAUUUUCAAGUGUUUGAUUGGUGAAUGAAAAAUAUUUUUCAGAAUAUACAUUUUAAUAUUUAGCGAAAGAGUAGAAAAUACUUUUUAGAUAAUUUUGACCCCGAAAAAUACUUUUUUUAGGGUGUGUUUGGUAUGGAGGAGAAAAAUAUUUUCUUGAAAAAUAAGUUGUUUUUUACUUAUAUUCUUGUGUUCGUUAAACAAGUAGGAAAAUAUUUUCUAAAAGUAUUUGUAUAUAUUUAACAAAAAUGAUAAGAAUGAAUAAGGUAAGAAGGAUGGGGUAAGAAAAAGAUUUUGAAAUUUAUUUUAAUCAAUAAAUUAAAAAAUUAAAUCUUUAUUAUGGAGGGAGAGGGCUGGUUGGGGGGAGGGGGAGGUGCGGCUAGUCUGAGGUGGGGGUCGGGGGGGGAGGGGGAGGGAAGAAAAAAUUAAAACUUUUUUACAAAAUAAAUUUAAAAAAAUUAUUUUUUUCAAGGGUGGGGGCCUGGUAGGGGUAGGGGUAGGGGUGUCGGGUGGGUGGUGGGGUAAGAAAAAAUUUGAUUUUUUUUUAAACAAAUAAAUAAUUUUUCUGGAGGGGGAUGGGGUUAGGGGAUGAGGUAAUAAAAAAAGUUGAAAUAAUUUUUUUGGAUGGGGUGGUAAGGGAUUGAUGGUCGGAGCAGGGGUGAGUGAUUUUGAGAGUUGUGUGAACAUUUCAAUUUGAGGGUGAGCUUGAAAGAGAGUCUUGAAAAUAUUUUUUCUACUUUUUGAAUGAAAAUCAUUUUCCUUAAAUUGAGGAAAAUAAGUUGACCCCCUAUCCGACUCACACUUAUUCCAUCUUUUUUCCCUUAGCAGAAUCCACAUAACUCUCAUAUAUACACCUCCAUUUUUCAAUUUAGAAAAACACACAUAUAGAAAAGGGAGGAGGAAGAUCACUAGAAUACAAUAGACACACACCUCACAAUACACCACUCCUCCGUCGUCACUGCCAUACAUACACACAAAAUGCUCAUACCUUAAUAAAACACACACACAGACGCCUCUCCUACACUUUCAUAUGCACACGACAUCAUCAAAAAACAUAUACCUCAUCAUCAAACGCACACACACAGAACUGCUAAACUCACAAACACAGAGAAAUUAGAGAGAGAGAUCGAUGGAGAAAAGAGAAAAUAGAGGACAAGCAGAAAACAUAUAUAUAGAGAGAGAAAUCACGUGGGGAGGGAGUUAUGAUUUUCUGGCUAAAUUUCACCAAAAAUGUAUCUCCACCGACAAAACAAUCCCACUGGCGAAGCAAUCCCACUAGGAAACACCAGAACCACCUUCAUCACCCACCCAAAAUUCAUAAAGCAGUGACCAAUAUCAGCGCAGAAGUCCAUGAGAUGCUCGAAAUUUCACCGGAGAUGUGCCAAAAAUGAUCAAAAUAUCCUAAACAUCGGGAAAACAAUGAGUUUAUCUUUGGGAUUUUGGGAAUUGAGUUCGAGGUCUGUUCGUGGUUCAUGGGUUCACGAGGCUCCCGUCGCUAUUAGAAUUGGUUCAAGUUGAUUGAAUAAAAGUAACAUUGAGGUUCAAUUCUAUCUUCUCUCCUCUUAUUUUUUAUAAGAUUGUGAAUGAUUUGUGUAUUUGGCAUGUUUAAAUCUUUGUUGUGUGUUGGUUGAUGUUGGAUUUGGAUAUGAAAACUUGGAUUGGUAGUCGAAAAAUUGGUUAAUUAUUUUGAGAAUGAAUUCAGGGAGAGGUUGAAAAUUGAUAAAAGUGAAUAUUGAUCUAUUUUGAUUCAUUGAUGGUUGUCUAAUUUGAAAUGGAUUUUAAUUUUUAUCGAACAUGAUAGUUUCAUAUUUUAGGUCGAGGAUCGACAAGAAAAUCUUAGGUCUUGGGUAGGCAACUCGUAGGAUUCUAUAUCAUCGAAUGCGUAUGUGUCUAUGUUGAGUGAUUUCUCUACUUUUACCGCAUUUCAUAAAAAAUGUAUUCAUUAGUCGGGGAAUGCCCCGAGGCCACAUUGCACUUAUUUACCGGAGAAUGCUCCGAAGUAUUAUGUACGUAAAGGAGGUUUGUGAUCAAGGCCCGAGGAGUCGGGUGGAGCUUAGUAUAGGAUCAGUUUAGAAUAGGAUUUACAUUUCUGUAUUUAUCUAUUUUUGGGACUGUAUAAUUCAGACUGGACAUUAUUUUGAUUUUGAACUUUGUUUGAUUUGUUUGUUUUCUUGUUUUAUGUGUUUUUUGGUUUUAUAUAUUUCAUAGUGUCAUAUUAGUCGAUAUACUCCACGAAGCGAUCAUGGUCGAACUAUGGGAUCGAGGGGUGCCUAAUACCUUUCCUUCGAUCAACGAAAUUUCUUAACUGAAAUCUCUAUUCGUGGAUCAAUUUUGAAAGAUUCAAAAAUUAUUUUUAAAAAGGAUUUUCAAAGUGACUUGGCAUACCAGAUUAUGCCAAGUGGCGACUCUAAAUUUUAUUUGUUAAAUAUCUUUUUCGUAAUAAAUUAUUUUCUUUUGUCACUUAAUAAUAAAACCCUUUCAAAUCUAAAAUUAUAUUCUUUUUGGUAUAAGAGGGGUGUGACAAUACGGACAAGUUUUUGUGAUUUACAAGUAAAGACUAAUUGCAUAUGAAUAAGUAGGUUUCUCUUUGAACUUUUCGUAGUGAACUUAUAUUGGAUGCACUUGGUCAAUCAGUAGAUGCGAUAUCUUUAAACCGUCGAACUUUGGUGUACACCUAGACAAUAUAAGUCACACAACCAACCAUUUAACAUUUAUGAUCCUCACAAUUUUAUUCGUUUCUAUCAUGAACACUAUCUAAUUUCUUGAGAGCUUAGAUAAUAGACCUUUACUAUCACUCCUUAAAUUAGUUUCCACUUCACCCUCUCAUAAUGAUUCCUAAGCAUUUAAUCCUAUAGAUUAAACUAUUUGAUCAACUUGUUAAACUUAUAAGCUAUAAAAAAGCUUUAAUCUAUAAGCCUUAUCCUUAUUUUUUGAAUAUUAUUUUCAUCAUGAGAUAGACAAUGUUGAACAGUCAGUCAUCACUUUAUUUAAUCUCCUUUAACUUAGCUUUAGGAAUCUCUAGUCUUCUAGAUAGAGUUACUGCCGCGAUGACUUGUCUUAGGCCAUAAACCCAUUUUUCUUGAUGAUCUCUCAACUCCCUCUCUAGUUAGGCCUUUUGUAAAUGGAUUUGACACAUUACCCUUUGGCUUUAUAUAGUCAGUUGUGAUAAUUCUACUAGAGAGUAGUUCUUUAACGAUGUUAUGUUUUUAUCUUAUAUGACGAGAUUUACCAUUAUACAUCAUAUUCUCUAUCCUACCUAUUAUAGCUUGACAAUCACAAUAUAUGCAUAUUGGUACCAAAGGUUUGGUCCAAUAAGGAAUAUCUUUUAAGAAAUUCCAAAGCCAUUCAGCUUCUUUACCAACCAUAUCUAAAGAGAUAAAUUUUGAUUCCGUUGUAGUAAAAGCAAUACAUUUCUAUUUGGAUGAUUUUCGAGAGACUUCUCCUCCACCAAGAGUAAAUACAUAUCCAUUGGAUUUUACUUUAUUUGGCCCGGUAAUUCAAUUUGCACCAUUAUAUCCUUUAAUUACUGUUGGAUAUUUGUUAUAAUGUAAAUCAUAGUUUUGAGUAUGUUUUAGAUACUCCUAAACUCUUUUCAUUUCCAUCUAAUGAGUUUGAUUGAAAUUGCUUGUGUACCGACUCAAUUUACUAACAGCACAUGCUAUACCUGAUUGCAUAUGAUUCAUGAUGUACAUCAAAGUUUUCAACACUUGCAUAGUCCAAUUGUAAGUCACUUUCACCUUCAUUCCUUUGAAGUGCGAAGUUUACAUCUUUUGGCAUCUUGGCAAUAUUAAAAUUCAAAUACUUAAAUUUGUCAAGUACAUUUUCAAUGUAAUGAGACUAUGACAAUGCUAAAUCUUGUGGAGUUCUAUAAAUUCUUAUCUAUGCUAAAUGGUCAAGACAAUAAACCACUGAUAGUGCAACCAACAUUCAAAGGGUCAUUAUCUUUAUUACUGAUGAGUAUAUAUCAAAAUAGACAAGAUCAUCUUUUUUUCUAAAGCUUUUAACAAAAAGUCUUGCCUUGUACUGUUAAUAGUAACGAGUAUGUGUCAAAAUAGACAAGACCUUCAUUUUUUCUAAAGCCUUUAACGAAAAGUUUUGCCUUGUGUUGUUAAUAGUUCCAUCAAAUUUUAUUUUCAUUUUAAAUAAUUAUUUUGAACCUAAAGGUUUAUUUCCUAGAGGAAGAUCUUCUAACUCCCACAUAUGGUUGUUCAAGAUUGAAUUAAUCUCACUGUUGAUAGUCUUUUCCAAAAGGAUGAGUUCAUAGAAUUUGAAUGUUUAACGCUCAUUUUUAAGAAGAAAUAUAACAAAAUCUGAUCCGAAGGAAGUAGAUGUCCUUUGACGUUUACUACACCUUGAAUUCUCUUCAUUAAGUUCAUUAUCCUUUGGUUCUUUUUGAGGUCUUUUAGACUCCUCACUAGAUAGCUCAUGUCUAGUCUUAUACAGAUUAAUGUGUUUAAAGAACUGAACAUUAUUUGAUGCAAUUACCGUAUUGUCAUGAAUAUCUAUAUGUUCAGAUUUAUGAAUCAAAAAUCAACAUAUUUUACUAUUUGUAGCAUAUCCAAUAAAAACACAGUCCACAGUCUUUUGUUCCAUUUUUGUCCUUUUGGGUACAUAAACUUAGACUUUGGCUAGACACCCUAUACUUUAAGAUAUUUCAAGUUGGGUUUCCUUUCUUUUUAUUUCUCGUAUGAAAAUGUUUGUGUGUUUCUAUGGGACACUCUAUUGAGUAUUUGAUUUGCUAUAACGAUAUCUUCUCACCAUAAGUUUGUGGUAAACCUAAACUUAUAAGUAAGACUUCAUUAUUUUCUUUAAUGUUUGGUUUUUUCUUUUCGCAAUUUCAUUUGAUUGAGGUGAGUAAGUGAUAAUAGUUUGAUGGACAAUUUCAUUUUCUAAACAUAUCUCUGUAAAAAGGAGAUUCAUACUCUCCACCUCUAUCACUUCUUAUCAUUUUAAUUUUUUUUUAUCCAACUAAUUAUUAACUUCAAUUUUAUAUUAUCUAAAUGUUUCUAUUACUUCUAUCUUACUCUUCAGCAAAUAAACAUAACAAUAUCUAGUGCAACCAUCAAUAAAAGUUAUGAAAUACUUUUUCCCACCACAAGAUAGUGUUAACUUCAUAUCACAAAUGUCUAUAUGAAUCAAGUCUAAGGGAUUGAAAUUCUUUUCAACAGACUUAUAAGGAUGCUUAGCAUACUUAGAUUAAUCACAUGUUUGAUACUUUGAUUUAUUGCACUUAAAAUUAGGUAAAACUUCAAACUUAUCAGUUUUUACAAGAUUUUAUAAUUGACAUGUCCUAAACGUUCAUGACAUAAUCCAUUUGAAUCAAGUAAGAAGAAUCAAAACUUUUAUUCAUAUCAAUAGUCAUUACAUUGAUCUUAAAAAGUCCCUCGAUUAGGUAACAUUUACCUAUAUACAUUUCAUCCAUGCAAAUAAUUCUUUAUUGGCACAAAUGUGGUGGAUUACAUCCGCCCUUUUCUUGAAUUACCAAUUUGAUUGCAUUUUGAAAGUAUGGUACAAAGAUUGUCUAUUUUUUCUUUGAAUUCAAUCAUGUUUUCUUGAUUCUCUUUCUUGCCCUUCUUCGGAGCCUGACAAUCAGUAGUUUUAUGGCCAACAUUACCAUAAUUGAUGCAAUUUUCUUUAAAUAUCUUCGUAGGAGGACUGUCUUGUUGUCCAGAUGCUUUCUUUUUCUUUUUUGACUUUGUGGGAUCAUCUUCAAUAAAUUUUGCUCCAGUUAUUAUUGAAUUCCUACAUGACCUCUUUUUUGCAGCCUUGUUAUCUUCUUUGAUUCCUUACAAUGUGAUAAUCGACAUACAUCUCUCUUGCAUUUUAUUUCAAGUAGUUUUUGAAGUCCUUCCACCAAGGUGGUAACUUUUCAAUUAUUUCAGCCACUUAAAAUGAAUCAUUCACAAUCAAACUUUUGCAAGGAGGUCAUGUAUUAUGACUUACAACUCUUGAACUUGGGUAAUAGCAACUUUACUAUCUACUAUUUUAAAGUUUGAAAACUUUACAAUAAUAAAUUUCUUCAUUCCGACAUCUUCUAUUUUGUACUUCUUUUUCAAAAUAUCCUAGAGUUUAUUUGAGGUUUUCAUGUUACUGUACACAUUGUACAAACCAGCUUGUAGGCCACACAGAAUGUAAUUCUUAUAUUAAAAAUCUGAAUGCUUUGAAGUUUUGGUCACUAAGAAACAUUCAUUAUCUGAAGUUGAUUCAGAUAAUUUAGAAACGCUUUCCAUCAUGAACUUUUACAGACUUAAAGUAGUCAAGAAAAAUAGUAUUUUUUAUUGUCAUCUUUUAAAGGCCACACUAGAAAACAAUUUUGAUUUCUCUGCCAGUGCCAUGGUAGGAGCGACAUUUAAACAACUCAAAGUAGCAAUGUUAGUUAUUGAAACAUUGAUCGUUCCAUCAUUGAAUUUAUUUUCAUUAAUUAUUUUUUGUCACAAUUAAAAAAUCAAUUUAGAAUUACAAUACUAAAAAUAAAGUCUAAAACUUUAAACAACUUAUUUCUAGUCAACACUGAAGUUUUUAUAUUCAUCAAAUCGCCAACCAAAUGAACUUUGACUCCUGAUGAAAUUUUUAUAUCUUUGAAUCAAUAUCAAGUUCAAAUAGAGUAGAUUUUGGUCUCCAGAAAUUAAAAUAUAGAUAUAAAAUAAUUUCCUUAAAAUUAUUAUUUUUUGAGUUAUAAAAUCUAUAUUUUUAGCAAGAACUUUAGAAACAAGUUCAAACAAUUUAUAAACAAUCAAAAAAAUUCAAAUGUCUUAAAAUAGUAUAAGAAAGAGAUGAAGAAAGAAAGAAUCAUGUCUACUGUAACACCCCACACUUUUUCUAACUUAAAACCGUCCCUAGAAUGUCAAAGAUUUGCUUCAAAGAUGAAUACCUUUUAUUUCAUGAGAUAUUUUCCAGAUUUAGAUUUUCUAUUGUGUGGGAAAUUUAAUGAAUUUUCCAUCGAUACCAAAUUCACCCAAAUUUGACACUCGAUUGAGGAUUUAGAGAAUUUUUAAGUUGACAGUAUCCCACCUGAGCAACCACCGCAUCGCGGUGAAGGACAAUUUCAUAAUUAUUAAUUUCAGUGGACCUUCGCGAUAUUGGCACAUCGAGGAUAGGUCAAAAUUCCCAAUUAUCAAUUUCCAGUAGCCUAACGCAAUAUUGGCACAUCGCGCCAGUGUCCAAAAUGACAUUUCAAAGGGGCACCGCGAUGGUGGCACGUCGCGGAGAAUGUCCAGCUCUCACUCGUCCUUUUCCAGUGAGCCACCGCAAUAGUGGUGCAUCUCAGUGGCCUAUUAAAUUAGAAAAAUAUUACAUUUUCAGUUCCAUCCAGAAGUUUAAAUAGGGCAUUUUGGUCAAUUCCCAAGCCCCCAAUCCGUCCAAAAAUAAGACUUAAGCCUAGUCUAAGCACUUUAUGCCCAAUUUCAUCCAUUCUCUCUCAAAAUAAAAUCCUAAAGCUCCAAAGCUUCUUCUCCAAGAAAUUAAAAAUCCUCCAUAGAUUCUCCAAGAAAGCUUCAAAUUGAGGAUUUUCAAGGCAAGAAAAUCAAGAAAUCAUCUCCAAGAACUCAAAUAGGAAUCAAUAGAUCACAUUUCUUCAUCUAAUCUUCAAUCAAGGUAUGUGGGGUUUAUGAACAAGGAUCUCCUUUUAUCCUUGUGCCCAAAACUAGCUUUUAACUAUAAAUUUAUAUUAUUUUGAAUGUUUAUACAUGAACUUUAAAUUAGGGUUCAUACCCAUUAUUGCAAAUUGCAAGAUUAUGAGAUUUCCAAUGUUUUAGAAGUUGAAUUGGAUGUCUAUUUUCAUACUUUUAUACCAUUGCAGAAAUUUACAGAUUUUGGGAGGAAUUAUCAUUGUUUUCAUGAUUAAGCAUGAAUAUUACGAUUUUUUGACAUGAGUUUGAUGUAUGAGUUACUAAGACCAAGUUUAUAUGUUGAUGUUUCAAGAAAGGUGAUGCUUUAAGCAUCCUAUGAUCAGUUUAUUCACAGAUUUUCAGUAAAGCUUUGAUCUUUUGAUCCUAAGCUAAGAUAAGGAAUCCACAUUGUUCAUAUAGUUUGAAAUUUAAAGAAAGAGAAGCAUAAUUGAUUUUUAUUAUAAACCCUUGUGCUAUUUUAAGGUGGAUAUUUCAUUAUAAACUUAGAUUUGAGGUCCUUAAACACUCCCAACACCUCCGAAAACGUCAUUACAUGAACUACCAUCACUACGGUGGUCCUAAAGAUCAUUUUAGAUUUAUCAAAAGAGCAUUACGACUACGGAGGGUCACAAUCGUACAACCUGGACGGUGCCUCAUUUAAAUUCUCAUAACUUCUUACUCCGAACUCGAAUUGAUGAAUGGUCGGUGGCGUUGGAAAGAAAACUCAAAGGGAUUUAACUUGAUAUAUAGUUGGCCACACUAAUCUUUAUAUACUAGGAUAAACAGUUGCUGGAAUUUGACCCAUGCAAAAUUGUUAACUAAUAAUUGAUCGAUAGGAAAGUGCUCAAUUUAACUUUUGAGCUAGGAGAUUCUUACAGUAUAUAUUCAUCUCCAAGAAUGUUCCCACACUAAGUAAAGGUCGUUCAAACUUAUAUAUAUGUAGAAAUAUAGGGUUCAGGUUUAUAAACGUAGAAAAAAAUACGGUUCAACUUUGGCCCAAAAAAAUGGGGUGUUACAUUUUAGUUGGUGUUCUUUGAAUUGUGAUACUGUAAAUUACCUUUUUAGCUUCAUUCGCUCCUUAAUUAUUUUCUAUGAUCUAGCUAUCAAAUUUUUGUAACAAUCUCAUCCAUUUAUGCUUCUCCAGUAAGAGACUAAGGAUUAGUUAUUGUAAGAAGAGAAAGAAUGAGAAUGAUUCAGUUUAGGGUCCUUUCUCUUUAAGUUUCUGCAAAAUUUAAAUAUAUUAUUUUUAUAUCUUGGCAUCCAUUGAAUGAUGUGGAAAUUCUAAUUCAAGUUAUAUAUGGCUAAGCAUAGUUAGAACAUCUACAUUGAUUUUACUUAGCUAAGAUGCAGAUUCUUUUAUUUAUUCUCAAGUCAUCACCAACUGAUUUGUCAACGUAUUUUUUACUUAUUCUCUCUCUCAUGUGUUAGGGAAUGUGAGGUUUUGAUGAUGGACAUAUAAAUGAAACAUUUUGUACAAGCUAUUCCACACAAGUGAAUAAAGAGAAGCUACUGGUGCUCACAUGAACUGCAUGUUGAAGUUGAUGCAAGGGCUGAUAAUGCAUUAAGACAAAAGUGGAUAAGCAAGGAAACUCAAAAUUGUUUCAAAUGCUAUGAUUAAGGAGAAUAUAAAUGAAGCAUCUAGAAGUUGAGUUGAUCAAGGAG
Molecule: long non-coding RNA, 10184 nt
Filed under: Capsicum annuum
Lineage: Eukaryota; Viridiplantae; Streptophyta; Magnoliopsida; Solanales; Solanaceae
Description: long non-coding RNA (CANN_LNC018573)
Source: RNAcentral